RNAcentral lists this ribosomal RNA (479 nucleotides) under uncultured bacterium. RNAcentral describes it as "bacterial SSU rRNA". It matches the Rfam family "Bacterial small subunit ribosomal RNA", at positions 28 to 521 of the family's 1533-position model. The record is from RNAcentral.
GACGAACGCUGGCGGCGUGCUUAACACAUGCAAGUCGAACGGUAAGGCCCGCUUGCGGGUACACGAGUGGCGAACGGGUGAGUAACACGUGAGCAACCUGCCCUUGACUCUGGAAUAACAGCUGGAAACAGCUGCUAAUACCGGAUACGACCUCCUGCGACAUCGCACAGAGGUGGAAAGCUCCGGCGGUCAAGGAUGGGCUCGCGGCCUAUCAGCUAGUUGGUGAGGUAACGGCCCACCAAGGCUUCGACGGGUAGCCGGCCUGAGAGGGUGACCGGCCACACUGGGACUGAGAUACGGCCCAGACUCCUACGGGAGGCAGCAGUGGGGAAUAUUGCACAAUGGGCGAAAGCCUGAUGCAGCAACGCCGCGUGCGGGAUGACGGCCUUCGGGUUGUAAACCGCUUUCAGCUUCGACGAAGCGCAAGUGACGGUAGGAGCAGAAGAAGGACCGGCCAACUACGUGCCAGCAGCCGCCGU